CCGUGAGGGUAUUGUUGUCAUGGAGACCGCCAUGUUGUUAAGCGGUGUCGAGCGCUCCGUUCCGUUGGAAUGCGUACUUGGACUGCAGGACUGCAUGGAAACCGCGAGGUCACAACCCUGAUGAAUAAAGCGUGAUGGCAGCCCAGGAUAUAUGUCGACUCUGUGACAAGGUCAUCACCUCAGAAGCUUGCGUGUUCUUCACUUAAUGCUCCUGGGCUAGCAGGUGCCUUGGUGGUCGCCCUGACCUUCUCAUCUGUCGGCUGUAUCCCAUUCAUGGUUAACUUGUGGCCAAGGGGUUAUUUUGAGAAAGCAUUUCUGCUGAACCUGUCUUGUCAUGCGGUGCUUCUGCUUUAUAAGCUGGAGAGACAUCUUGGUGAGCUCCACAAGGUCCUUCGACGCGGUGUUUUCGCCUGGGGUGACCAGCACAGGACCAGAAGUCACCCAAUGAGAUUGUUUAUAAACAAGCUUCCUCGAAGUUAAUCCACUUUCAAACAGCCCAUUUCAAUGGCGACCGACAUACCUGAUUUCAUUGAGGAAAUCGGUGGGGAAGAGGAAGAGGAUGAUGACAGCGAGGUUGGAUUACAACUUGUUCAUACUCCAUCUUGAUUAUUCUGCCAAAACCUCUGAAUGGCAAAUGAUUAAUCGGUCUGCAUAUCUGACCAUGUCGUUUAUUAUGCUGGAAUACCAUUUUUCAAAAUCCUAUACACUUUGUCAAUUUUGUUCUACAAAUGUAAUUUUUCA
This 741-nucleotide long non-coding RNA is filed under the name Eptatretus burgeri (inshore hagfish). RNAcentral describes it as "lncRNA (ENSEBUG00000017403.1)". The record is from RNAcentral. Lineage: Eukaryota; Metazoa; Chordata; Myxini; Myxiniformes; Myxinidae.